UCUCUGGUGGUUUAGUGGCUAAGACUCCACGUCUGCAAUGCAGGGGACCCAGGUUCAAUCCCUGGUCAGGGAA
Molecule: transfer RNA, 73 nt
Filed under: Bos taurus (domestic cattle)
Lineage: Eukaryota; Metazoa; Chordata; Mammalia; Artiodactyla; Bovidae
Also listed under: 5 other names
Rfam family: tRNA
About the family: Transfer RNA (tRNA) molecules are approximately 80 nucleotides in length.
Source: Rfam by way of RNAcentral